AUCAGGAAGUGAGACUCACACACGGGAGCCAGACGCCACAAAAGCCGGAGAAUUAAGCAGUUCAAACUCCCCCAGACUCUUGACGGGCUUCAUGGUGACCUGAGAGGAAUACGGUGAAGCUGCAGGCAGCUACUGUUGCCCAGAAAUCACUUUAAGCUGUUCUCUGAAAAGAUGUACUACAGCACUGUUGACUUCUUCAGCUCUCUGAUGGGUGUCAUUGAACUGUUGUUGACAGGGGGAAAUGUGCAAACCCUUUAUCAUAGCACUCUGUGCACUCCUGCGCCCUUUGAGUCUUGUUCCCAGUUUACAGAAACAGUUUGUCCUGCAUGUACACAUUGUGUGUUGCUGUUGAUUGGUGCUUAAUUAAAUGUAUUUAAAUACGCA
Non-coding RNA from Epinephelus lanceolatus (giant grouper), 384 nucleotides. The record is from RefSeq and is a predicted model, not a curated record. NCBI's taxonomy places the organism in Eukaryota, Metazoa, Chordata, Actinopteri, Perciformes, Serranidae.